This 451-nucleotide ribosomal RNA is filed under the name uncultured bacterium. RNAcentral's name for it is "partial 16S ribosomal RNA". It matches the Rfam family "Bacterial small subunit ribosomal RNA", at positions 29 to 523 of the family's 1533-position model. The record is from RNAcentral.
AACGAACGCUGGCGGCAGGCUUAACACAUGCAAGUCGAACGGCUGUAACAAUACAGCAGUGGCAGACGGGUGAGUAACACGUGGGAACCUUCCUAGGGGUACGGAACAACUCAGGGAAACUUGAGCUAAUACCGUAUACGUCCGUGAGGAGAAAGAUUUAUCGCCCUUAGACGGGCCCGCGUCGGAUUAGGUAGUUGGUGGGGUAACGGCCUACCAAGCCUACGAUCCGUAGCUGAUCUGAGAGGAUGACCAGCCAAACUGGGACGGGGACACGGCCCAGACUCCUACGGGAGGCAGCAGUGGGGAAUCUUGGACAAUGGGCGCAAGCCUGAUCCAGCCAUGCCGCGUGAGUGAAGAAGGCCUUAGGGUUGUAAAGCUCUUUUGCCAGGGACGAUAAUGACGGUACCUGGAGAAUAAGCCCCGGCAAACUUCGUGCCAGCAGCCGCCGUAA